GCACCAUCUCUUACUUGAUA
RNAcentral lists this transfer RNA (20 nucleotides) under Escherichia coli HVH 24 (4-5985145). Its description in RNAcentral is "tRNA-Ser". Lineage: Bacteria; Pseudomonadati; Pseudomonadota; Gammaproteobacteria; Enterobacterales; Enterobacteriaceae. The record is from RNAcentral.